RNAcentral lists this unclassified non-coding RNA (637 nucleotides) under Hevea brasiliensis (rubber tree). Lineage: Eukaryota; Viridiplantae; Streptophyta; Magnoliopsida; Malpighiales; Euphorbiaceae. The record is from RNAcentral.
GAUACAUACAAAAUGAUAUGCUCUGGGCAUACUACUAACAAAACCAUCGUCCACCAUUAUGCAACUAGUGACUUUCCCUUGAAUUUCAACUUUAAUGAACAGAGCUCUAUUGUGGUCUCUCCCAUCUCUCGGCAAAUCGGCAUCAGUAAAUAAAAUUCCUUCUUUGUUCCCAAUUUGUACAGAGUUUGCUAACUCUUCUGAAGUAGAAUCAGUAUUCAUAGUCAUAGGCAUCAAGGCAAUAACUAAACUUCUUUAAUGGACUUUUGAUUGUUUCAAUAACUUCCAAAGAGACACACUAACGAGAGUCCUCUUUAAUUGCUUCACGAGUGAAUUUUGCUUUAUUGCAUUGUCUCCUUCAUCUCUUUCCAUGGUCUUACUAUCACAUUUCUUUCCAUCAGCAUCUUCAUAGGCUAUUUCUUUUCCUUUAUCAACAUCAAUUCUCCCAUAAAGGCAUCCACUUUGUGUUACAUUUUCCAUAGCCAAGUCAUCCUCACUAGAAUCUCCCCAAACAUCAACAGCAGCCUUGCAUACUUUGCUCUCAGAAUCAGAGCUGUCCCAAACAUUAACAGGUCAAACUUCAGCCUGUAAGGCCACAAUCUUGUACAGGCAUUCCUCUCCAAUUACCCAAUCUUCCCCA